UUUACGCGGCAGCAUGGGACUGAAUUGUGGGAGGACUUAUACUUAUAUGAUUCUACCCCCUUUCAUUUUUAUGCUGCUUUGGGA
Molecule: microRNA precursor, 84 nt
Filed under: Haemonchus placei
Lineage: Eukaryota; Metazoa; Nematoda; Chromadorea; Rhabditida; Trichostrongylidae
Description: mir-5890 microRNA precursor family
Rfam family: mir-5890 microRNA precursor family
Source: Rfam by way of RNAcentral